Molecule: long non-coding RNA, 643 nt
Filed under: Anser brachyrhynchus (Pink-footed goose)
Lineage: Eukaryota; Metazoa; Chordata; Aves; Anseriformes; Anatidae
Description: lncRNA (ENSABRG00000020032.1)
Source: RNAcentral
CAUGUGUUCGGCACUUAAACUGUAUAUACUACUGGGAAGAGCUGGAUUAUUCAUCAGGAGAAACUGAGAAAUUGAGUUGAAAAUGCCAAAUCAGGCAGGCAGAUGGAAUUAUCUCCUGUGGCAGUCACUCCUUUAAAAAAAAAAAAAAAUUUUUUUUCCUCUCACUUCCUCAUACAUGCAAACAAGGAAGCAAACGCUCUCCAAGUUUCACAAGAAAAGAGUAAGAAGUCAAAAAUACCAUGACCACUGAAAGACAAUUCAAAUAUAGAAAGUUUGGUGGACCCAUUCUUCAAGAAUGUGUUCAGCUUUUCUGAGGUCAAGAGGUUCUUCCGACGUACCGAGGCAGACUCCUGAGUUCUUAUCCAUUGUCACUCAGAAAGGUAUGGACAGACAUAGCCCAGAGUUGUGGCAGCCAUUAAUAGAUCAAGCAAGCCCAUGCAGCUGUGUUUUGAUCAGUGGAAAGGUUUCUGGCAUCCAAGAGCUGAAAUCACCUUUUGGGUCAUCACACCUCACUGGAGGUUUCCCUGCUUUAACGAGCAUCUCAGAAACCACAGAGAGGACUGGAGAAUGGGGGUCAUUGUACAUUCUUGUAUUUGAAAGCAGCUCCAUAGCAUCCGCAAAAGGAUUCUUGGCACCUGCCUAG